RNAcentral lists this ribosomal RNA (197 nucleotides) under uncultured bacterium. RNAcentral describes it as "partial 16S ribosomal RNA". It matches the Rfam family "Bacterial small subunit ribosomal RNA", at positions 328 to 539 of the family's 1533-position model. The record is from RNAcentral.
ACGCUCGACACCUACGGGAGCAGCAGUGGGGAAUAUUGCACAAUGGGGGAAACCCUGAUGCAGCGACGCCGCGUGAGUGAAGAAGUAUUUCGGUAUGUAAAGCUCUAUCAGCAGGGAAGAAGAUGACGGUACCUGAGUAAGAAGCCCCGGCUAACUACGUGCCAGUAGCCGCGGUAAUCUGAGCGGGCUGGCAAGGC